UACGUAGGGUGCGAGCGUUAAUCGGAAUUACUGGGCGUAAAGCGUGCGCAGGCGGUUCGUUGUGUCGGUGGUGAAAGCCCCGGGCUUAACCUGGGAAUGGCCAUGGAAACUGGCGAACUGGAGUGCGGCAGAGGGGGAUGGAAUUCCGCGUGUAGCAGUGAAAUGCGUAGAUAUGCGGAGGAACACCGAUGGCGAAGGCA
Molecule: ribosomal RNA, 200 nt
Filed under: uncultured bacterium
Lineage: Bacteria
Description: partial 16S ribosomal RNA
Rfam family: Bacterial small subunit ribosomal RNA
Source: RNAcentral